UCCUUUUUAGAGAGAAGACAUCACUGGCAAAGUAAUCAUAAACAGAGAGAGAAGCUGAAGAAAAUCUAAGUUGAGAGGAUGCUUGUUCAAGGAUGUAAAAAACGGACUGGUGGACUCUUUACUGAAUUUACUGCGGUGUGACAGUUGCUGCUCUGACUCAAAAGAAGAGGAAAGCCUCACGAACUCGAUGCCAUCUGCACUGGGCUGAAUCCAAGCAAGCAAACAGCCAGCCAGGAGGCUGAACGCAGGAGCAGUGGGUUGCAGGCCGAGAAACAUCUGGUCCCUGGAGU
This 290-nucleotide long non-coding RNA is filed under the name Camelus dromedarius (Arabian camel). RNAcentral describes it as "lncRNA (ENSCDRG00005020681.1)". Lineage: Eukaryota; Metazoa; Chordata; Mammalia; Artiodactyla; Camelidae. The record is from RNAcentral.